Molecule: ribosomal RNA, 497 nt
Filed under: uncultured bacterium
Lineage: Bacteria
Description: partial 16S ribosomal RNA
Rfam family: Bacterial small subunit ribosomal RNA
Source: RNAcentral
GAUGAACGCUGGCGGCGUGCCUAAUACAUGCAAGUCGAGCGAACGGACGAGACGCUUUCUUCUCUGAUGUUAGCGGCGGACGGGUGAUUACCACGUGGAUAACCUACCUAUAAGACUGGGAUAACUUCGGGAAACCUGAUCUCAUAUCGGAUAAUAUUUUGAACCGCAUGGUUCAACAGUGAAAGACGGUCUUGCUGUCACUUAUAGAUGGUUCCGCGCUGCAUUAGCUAGUUGGUAAGGUAACGGCUUACCAAGGCAACGAUGCAUAGCCGACCUGAGAGGGUGAUCGGCCACACUGGAACUGAGACACGGUCCAGACUCCUACGGGAGGCAGCAGUAGGGAAUCUUCCGCAAUGGGCGAAAGCCUGACGGAGCAACGCCGCGUGAGUGAUGAAGGUCUUCGGAUCGUAAAACUCUGUUAUUAGGGAAGAACAUAUGUGUAAGUAACUGUGCACAUCUUGACGGUACCUAAUCAGAAAGCCACGGCUAACUACGUG